CCUACUCAGUUACUCCCAGGACGGCUAGAUUUUAGCCUCGGCUUAUCAGCAGAACUAAUUAGUGUUAACUGUUCUGUGGUCAUAAAGCACACUCCCCUGUCAGGCUGACAACAGCCUGCUUGGCGAUAAUAAAUGAACCCAGGUGUUAUAUCUGGCCAAAUCUGAAUAUGCUGCAACAUGUUUCAGAGAGUUAUCGACCAGUGUAAUUAUCAGUUGUGCCAAAUAUUCAUAGCCAAUACAACAUUUAUUUUGAUAUUUUAUAUUUAUAAAACAGAUUGAGAACCAAAAUGACUUUUCAUAUUCCAUCACUGAGAAAGAAACAUGAUGUUUAAUGAACCAGUGCACAGAUGGAUAAUAUGUUUGAAGUAGAUCAAUGCAAAAUUCAUGUUGAUAAGACUUUAAGUUGGGACAUUUUGGUAUUUAAUAUUUAUCAACCACAGGAUACUACAUCUAAUUAAUUCAUUUAAUUAUAUAAUUUAAGUUCAACACUCCACUAGCAAAUAUCAUGCUGGAUACUCAUGCUGAUAGUCCUGUAAAGUUGUUUAUUAAAAAAAUUGUUUUUUUAACUUACUGAUUAGUAACAUGGUUACCCGUUAUGUAUAUUAUGUGAACAUUUAUUAUGUGAAUUACAAAGGUGAAUUUGGUAUUUGGUGUAUAAAUUAAUGUUUUUUUUCCAUGAAAUGUCCUUGCAAGAAAAGUUUGGGUUACAAUCAUGACAGUACUAAAUAUAAAUGUAUACAGCAACUUAUCAUUCUAUUAUUAUAAAUUGACAAGAAUUCUAUAGAGUUUAUGUGGCAUACUAUUAAUGCUAUUUCAACUUGUUUAUAUGAACAUUAAUAGAUGUACAUUGAAAAAAUAAGGAAUAUUCAAUUGCUUACUUCUGAAUAAUUUGAUAAUUAUGUGUAAUAAAAAAUAUCUGCAUUAUAAUUUUAUAUAACAUAAUUAUAAUUAUGCUCUGAGAUCAUUACAUACUAUUCGCAUAUUCAUAUACUUUACAUAACAUAGUUUAAUUAACAUGUUGUAAAUUCAAUAAUAAACUAUGUACAAGUUUUGAUCUGUUUUUUAUUUUAUUUUAAUCCAUCAUUCAAAUACAAGCACGAUGCUCUUUAUUAAAAUGUGCUUUAGUUAUUUAAUAUUAAUUAACUCUUUGAUACCUAUUAAAAUGCAUGCUCCUGUAUUUUUCUACAAUCAAAUUAUUCAUUUAGUGUGUGAGCAAUGUUUAAAACCCUCUGAAGUCUCAGCAUUCUACACCAGUAUCUUGUAAUUAGAUAUGGCCAAUAAAUCCCCUCUUGUUAUCACUUUCAACAGUGAUCAGCGCUUCACACCAC
Molecule: long non-coding RNA, 1328 nt
Organism: Dreissena polymorpha
Lineage: Eukaryota; Metazoa; Mollusca; Bivalvia; Myida; Dreissenidae
Exons: 3
Source: RefSeq, a predicted model, not a curated record